AAAGGCACACCAUUUGCCUUGAUUUACACGGGGGAGAGGCUGAAAAAAUCUGAAACACAGAAAGUUAAAAAAGCUUGGGGAAGAUCUGAAAAUUUGAAUUUCAAAUUCAAAAACCAAAUCUGAAAUCUGAAAGUAGGGAGCUCAUUCUAGAUCAUAGGUAUUUUGAUAAAUCAGAAAAAAUAGCAGAAAAUCCCAUAAAAAAUACUGUUCUAUUAUAUUUUUAUAAGUUCUUCAUCUUCAAUGCAAUUUCUGAGCAUUAUAGGGUGUGAAAAUGAGUCGAAUUUGGGAUCAAUUUUCCUGCUAAUAGUCAACUGGUCUUCAAAACAAAUUGUAUUCCAUUCCUUUGUUGCUGGUUCUCAUUUGUUGCUGCUGGCUUCAUCUCCUUCUUAUUGUGUUUUAACUCCCAGGUAUUCUUCAAUCUCAAAUGACGUGUGAAGAGUUUUGAAUCAGCAGCUGUAAUUGAAUUACUGAAGAAAUGACAUAUUAUUCAUGUUCUUUCUCAUGUUAAACCACUGGUAGAUAUAUUAGUUUGAAUUCUAGGUUAUGCUGUAGCAGUCGUUGAAAUUUAAAGCUGGACAUUCUAUUAUUUGUACCUGUAUGGAUUUUGUCCAGAUUUAUAUAAAUGUGAUCUUAAUAUGGCAUAAUUAAUGUUAAUUGUUCAUUAUACACAUGCUAAAGCGUGAAAUCCAAGACAAUUAAGACUUUCAAAUUUGGAAUAUUAAGGUCAGUUCAUGUAUAUUAACAGAAGUGUCUCAUGUGCGCAGUUGAAACUCAAAUGAUAUGGACUUUCAAUAAUUGCGAUAACUGGAUUGUAUUUCUCCCUUAAUUUUAGGAACUAUACAAAAGAAAAUACUCAGUUGUAUCAGUUGUUGCCAUUGAAUAGUAUAGACUAUGAACUCUAGUCACUCAAAUGUUCAGCAGUGUUUUAGUUCUUGGCAUUACUGUUUGUCUUUAUGACUGUUUGCCUAAGAUGCUCACUAUU
Molecule: long non-coding RNA, 982 nt
Filed under: Nicotiana benthamiana
Lineage: Eukaryota; Viridiplantae; Streptophyta; Magnoliopsida; Solanales; Solanaceae
Description: long non-coding RNA (NBEN_LNC007149)
Source: RNAcentral